RNAcentral lists this long non-coding RNA (2228 nucleotides) under Brassica rapa (field mustard). RNAcentral describes it as "long non-coding RNA (BRAP_LNC004811)". The record is from RNAcentral. Lineage: Eukaryota; Viridiplantae; Streptophyta; Magnoliopsida; Brassicales; Brassicaceae.
AAGAAACUUAUUUCAUCCCCUAAUGGACCGAGAAUAUGGGUUGGUGGUGCAUGUAUAAAGAAGGGCGUUAGGGGAUGGCAAAUAAGAGCAUGCGGCUCAGGCUUAAGACAAAAGACUAUAACUGAAAACAGAUUCCUUACCCACGGCUUACAAAGAUUUUUACCCACGGCUUACACAUGUCUUGACAAAGACAAAGAUUUAUUACCCACGGCUUACAAGUCUUAAAGACCAAAGACUUUUCUGUUUUCAGUUAUUUGAAUGGUACAGUUUGAGAAAGUCCUAAGACAAGGACUAUAACUGAAAACAUUGUCCCUUGCUGCCUCUAAAAGAAACUUAUGUCAUCCCCUAAUGGACCGAGAAUAUGGGUUGGUGGUGCAUGUAUAAAGAAGGGCGUUAGGGGAUGGCAAAUAAGAGCAUGCGGCUCAGUCUUAAGACAAAAGACUAUAAAUGAAAACAGAUUCCUUACCCACGGCUUACAAAGAUUUAUUACCCACGGCUUACACAUAUCUUAGACAAAGACAAAGAUUUAUUACCCACGGCUUACAAGUCUUAAAGACCAAAGACUUUUUUGUUUUCAGUUAUUUGAAUGGUACAGUUUGAGAAAGUCCUAAGACAAGGACUAUAACUGAAAACAUUGUCCCUUGCUGCCUCUAAAAGAAACUUAUGCCAUCCCCUAAUGGACCGAGAAUAUGGGUUGGUGGUGCAUGUAUAAAGAAGGGCGUUAGGGGAUGGCAAAUAAGAGCAUGCGGCUCAGUCUUAAGACAAAAGACUAUAACUGAAAACAGAUUCCUUACCCACGACUUACAAAGAUUUAUUACCCACGGCUUACACAUGUCUUAGACAAAGACAAAGAUUUAUUACCCACGGCUUACAAGUCUUAAAGACCAAAGACUUUUAUGUUUUCAGUUAUUUGAAUGGUACAGUUUGAGAAAGUCCUAAGACAAGGACUAUAACUGAAAACAUUGUCCCUUGCUGCCUCUAAAAGAAACUUAUGCCAUCCCCUAAUGGACCGAGAAUAUGGGUUGGUGGUGCAUGUAUAAAGAAGGGCGUUAGGGGAUGGAAAAUAAGAGCAUGCGUCUCAGUCUUAAGACAAAAGACUAUAACUGAAAACAGAUUCCUUACCCACGGCUUACAAAGAUUUUUACCCACGGCUUACACAUGUCUUGACAAAGACAAAUAUUUAUUACCCACGGCAUACAAGUUUUAAAGAUCAAAGACUUUUCUGUUUUCAGUUAUAUGAAUGGUACAGUUUGAGAAAGUCCUAAGACAAGGACUAUAACUGAAAACAUUGUCUCUUGCUGCCUCUAAAAGAAACUUAUGUCAUCCCCUAAUGGACCGAGAAUAUGGGUUGGUGGUGCAUGUAUAAAGAAGGGCGUUAGGGGAUGACAAAUAAGAGCAUGCGGCUCAGUCUUAAGACAAAAGACUAUAACUGAAAACAGAUUCCUUACCUACGGCUUACAAAGAUUUUUACCCACGGCUUACACAUGUCUUGACAAAGACAAAGAUUUAUUACCCACGGCUUACAAGUCUUAAAGACCAAAGACUUUUAUGUUUUCAGUUAUAUGAAUGGUAAAGUUUAAGAAAGUCCUAAGACAAGGACUUUAACUGAAAACAUUGUCUCUUGCUGCCUCUAAAAGAAACUUAUGUCAUCCCCUAAUGGACCGAGAAUAUGGGUUGGUGGUGCAUGUAUAAAGAAGGGCGUUAGGAGAUGGCAUAUAAGAGCAUGCGGCUAAGUCUUAAGACAAAAGACUAUAACUGAAAACAGAUUUCUUACCCACAGCUUACAAAGAUUUUUACCCACGGCUUACACAUGUCUUGACAAAGACAAAGAUUUAUUACCCACGGCUUACAAGUCUUAAAGACCAAAGACUUUUCUGUUUUCAGUUAUUUGAAUGGUACAGUUUGAGAAAGUCCUAAGACAAGGACUAUAACUGAAAACAUUGUCCAUUGCUGCCUCUAAAAGAAACUUAUUAUGUCAUCCCCUAAUGGACCGAGAAUAUGGGUUGGUGGUGCAUGUAUAAAGAAGGGCGUUAGGGGAUGGCAAAUAAGAGCAUGCGGCUCAGUCUUAAGACAAAAGACUAUAACUGAAAACAGAUUCCUUACCCACGGCUUACAAAGAUUUUUAUCCACAGCUUACACAUGUCUUGACAAAAACAAAGAUUUAUUACCCACGGCUUACAAGUCUUAAAGACCAAAGACAUUUCUGUUUUCAGUUAUUUGAAUGGUAC